Molecule: ribosomal RNA, 392 nt
Filed under: uncultured bacterium
Lineage: Bacteria
Description: partial 16S ribosomal RNA
Rfam family: Bacterial small subunit ribosomal RNA
Source: RNAcentral
AUACGUAGGUGGCAAGCGUUAUCCGGAAUUAUUGGGCGUAAAGAGGGAGCAGGCGGCAGCAAGGGUCUGUGGUGAAAGCCUGAAGCUUAACUUCAGUAAGCCAUAGAAACCAGGCAGCUAGAGUGCAGGAGAGGAUCGUGGAAUUCCAUGUGUAGCGGUGAAAUGCGUAGAUAUAUGGAGGAACACCAGUGGCGAAGGCGACGAUCUGGCCUGCAACUGACGCUCAGUCCCGAAAGCGUGGGGAGCAAAUAGGAUUAGAUACCCUAGUAGUCCACGCCGUAAACGAUGAGUACUAAGUGUUGGAUGUCAAAGUUCAGUGCUGCAGUUAACGCAAUAAGUACUCCGCCUGAGUAGUACGUUCGCAAGAUUAAAACUCAAAGGAAUUGACGGGG